Long non-coding RNA from Brassica napus (rape), 1376 nucleotides. RefSeq lists it as uncharacterized. The record is from RefSeq and is a predicted model, not a curated record. NCBI's taxonomy places the organism in Eukaryota, Viridiplantae, Streptophyta, Magnoliopsida, Brassicales, Brassicaceae. The transcript is spliced from 3 exons.
GGGGGGGGGGGUUGUGUUGCUUUCGUUUUUGGAUGCGUUGUCAAAUAUUAGCACAGACAUUUAUUCCUUGGUUACUGAAGCUAAUGACAAAUGACCUCUAUCAGUUAGCCGCUGUUGCGUUCUGUCUACUCCUAGCCUGGAUUAGUGAUAAGCUAUGGUUAAGUCUAGAACUAUGUUCUUUUGCCGCAGGGGUCAUGAUAUCAACUAGGGAUCUCGAUAAACAUACAUUGGGCAAGUAAGUUGUGAUCAUGUAUUACCAAAAAGACUGCUUUCAUCUACUUGUCUCUUUUUUUCAUCUCCCAGAACUGUUUUCUGUGUCUUCGCUGAUUUAAUUUGAUCAUAGUCGAGGUUCUCAUUGCAGGGUGAGUUAUGUCUAGGCUAGAAAGUAAUCUGUUGACAAGUAUGUAAUGUUAAACCCUUAAAGAGUCCAUAGACUGACCCAUGUGCUUUAUAUUUUGAUUCAGAUCGAACCAUCCUAAUAUGUUGUAUUAAACAUUAUCGCAGACUUUUCCCAAAGAAUUUAUGUUUAUGUGUCAUGGGGCUGGUUGAUUCUUUAUUUGAAAAAGUUCCAAGAAAGUUUUCAAAAGGACGAUGCUCGCCGUAUGAGAGUGAUGUUGUGUUUGUUGUUGUCCUUAUGCUAAUUUUCUUCUUAGGUUUUGUAGACCGAGUGCUUGUUGAAGUUAUGUAUACAAAUGUACUUUAAUGAGUAUGAUCAACCGAAAAACAAAGUCGGAGAUUAGAAACUCAAGGCAUAGAAGAGACAAAGACGAGAAUGGUCGAUGAUCUAAACCGUCGAGGUCGCACCACCGUUCACGAUCUAGAGAUAGAGAGGGAUAUAUGCAUACAAGUAUACGGGAGAAAAGGAGACAAGAGAGUUGAUAGAGAUCGCAAGAAGGGUAGACAUAUAGAAAAAUAAACUACUUGGUUUUUUCUUUUUGCACUGCAGAAUUAGGUAAAUAGCUCAUCCUCUUCCUCCAUUUCUUUCCUUCCCGAUUCAUUUUAACAAAAUUCCAUGAAAUGCAGAGAUUUCACUUUAUACACAAAUGCUGCUAUACCCUCUUCACAUUGUCUCUAUUAAUCAAUUGUUCAGUUACAUGGGGUUGAGUGGAUCAUCAAGGAUUAUCAGAUGUUUGAUGAAUUUCUUUGGAAGGAAAUGACCUGACUCCUGAUUUGUUUUGUAUUUUAUAUGGUUUUCGGGUUUAUAAGGAUGAACUGAGGAAAAAGCUCAACCCUCUAUUCAAUGAGCUUAAAACAUCAUGAGCCUAUUUUUUGCACUGUUGUUAAUAUGUCAUUCAACUUUGUGUCCCAUCAGCCAUGUUCUUCAAUGAAAUUGUAUCUGGUUCAGUUCUGACAAUGCAAAAUUGUUUUCAGACUGA